Molecule: unclassified non-coding RNA, 971 nt
Filed under: Hevea brasiliensis (rubber tree)
Lineage: Eukaryota; Viridiplantae; Streptophyta; Magnoliopsida; Malpighiales; Euphorbiaceae
Source: RNAcentral
CUCAUUUCUUUUCUUCACAGGAAGUUGGAAGGACACAUUUUGAUUCUCUCUCUCUCCGUUUAUCAAUUGGGAGAGAUUGAGUUUUCAUGAUUAAGCCCAUGGCGAUUUCUUCACGUGGUCUCUCUGUUUUGGGCGUCCUCUUCUUCUUCUCUUUCUUCUUUCUCAUCGUUCUUUCCUUCGCCGAUGACGUCUCCUACGAUGACGAUUCCCCCAAGUCUCCCGGCUGCGAUCGGGCUUACAAAUUGGUCAAGGUUAUGAACUGGGUUAAUGGUGUUGAAGGUGAAACUUUAAGUGGGAUAACUGCAAGAUUUGGGGCUGCAUUGCCUUUGGAGGCUGAAAAAGGUCUCAGAUUGCCUGCCAUUUUCUCAAAUCCCUUAAAUGGCUGUUCUAGUUCUUCUUCAAAGCUUUCUGGCUCUAUUGCAGUGUCCAUACGUGGUGAUUGUACCUACACUACAAAAGCAGAAGUUGCACAGUUGGGAGGUGCAGAAGCUCUUUUAGUGAUAAACGACAAAGAAGGGCUUGCUGAGAUGGGAUGUGAUAAGGACAGUGGUUCUCCAAAUGUUUCAAUUCCUGUUGUGAUGAUUCCAAAGUCAGCAGGUGAAUAUCUGAACAAGUCAAUGGGGGGUGGACAGAAAGUGGAAAUCAAACUAUAUGCACCCAAUCGUCCUGUUGUGGAUUUUUCAGUGAUAUUCUUGUGGAUGAUGGCUGUUGGAACAGUGAUCUGUGCUACUCUUUGGUCAGAGUUUACUGCUCCCGAAGAGAGUGAUAAGCAUUAUAAUGAAUUAUCACCAAAGGAAAAUGCUUCAACAGCCAAAGAUGAUUCUGAGCAAGAAUUCAUUGAUAUUAAUGCGAAGAGUGCAGUAGUUUUUGUUCUAACAGCAUCAACUUUUCUGGUUCUACUCUUCUUUUUUAUGUCAAGUUGGUUUGUCUGGCUGUUGAUUAUACUCUUCUGCCUUGGUGGUGUUGAGGGC